RNAcentral lists this ribosomal RNA (448 nucleotides) under uncultured bacterium. RNAcentral describes it as "bacterial SSU rRNA". It matches the Rfam family "Bacterial small subunit ribosomal RNA", at positions 329 to 794 of the family's 1533-position model. The record is from RNAcentral.
UUCCAGACUCCUACGGGAGGCAGCAGUGGGGAAUAUUGCACAAUGGGGGAAACCCUGAUGCAGCGACGCCGCGUGAGUGAAGAAGUAUUUCGGUAUGUAAAGCUCUAUCAGCAGGGAAGAUAAUGACGGUACCUGAGUAAGAAGCCCCGGCUAACUACGUGCCAGCAGCCGCGGUAAUACGUAGGGGGCAAGCGUUAUCCGGAUUUACUGGGUGUAAAGGGAGCGUAGACGGCAUGGCAAGUCUGAAGUGAAAGCCCGGGGCUCAACCGCGGGACUGCUUUGGAAACUGUUAAGCUGGAGUGCAGGAGAGGUAAGUGGAAUUCCUAGUGUAGCGGUGAAAUGCGUAGAUAUUAGGAGGAACACCAGUGGCGAAGGCGGCUUACUGGACUGUAACUGACGUUGAGGCUCGAAAGCGUGGGGAGCAAACAGGAUUAGAUACCCCAGUACU